RNAcentral lists this unclassified non-coding RNA (2212 nucleotides) under Hevea brasiliensis (rubber tree). The record is from RNAcentral. Lineage: Eukaryota; Viridiplantae; Streptophyta; Magnoliopsida; Malpighiales; Euphorbiaceae.
AUUCAUAUAUUAUUAAUAGCAAAAGAAUUUAUAAAUUUAUCAAUAAAAUAAAUUUAUUUUACAACAAUGGAAAUUUUGGCUAAUACAAAUUUAUUCUCCAACAACUUUAUUCAGAUGAAAGCAAACAAAUCUUUUAGAAGCAUGGCCUUUUCACUGUGGAAUACGAAGAUAGAGAGGGAUGGGAUUGUCAGCAACAGGAGGUGAGUCCCAAACAGAGAAUGCACUUGCAGAGUUCAUCCACUUGUUCGUCAUUUCUGGGUAGUGACGAUCAAGCACAUCUUUUAAACUCUCUGUAGUAUUCACCCAUUCGAAUCCCUUCUUUGUGUAUGUUUCCUCAUUGAAAUUGCUUGUGAAGAACCUGUCAGCUUCUAGCCUCCUGCAUGUGUCACCAACCCAGAAUUUAGAGCUUUAAUUUUUCUUUAAUUAUUUAUGUUUAUUGUUUGAUUAGUUGAUUAAUUAAUUACCUAGUUGCCAGGAGAAGGAAUAUGAUGAAAGCAGUCUCACUAAUGGCAAAUCCUUUAAUCUUCUUCUCUGCCAUGAGGCCUACAAGAAGAUCAAGUUCUUCAACAUCUUCACCGUACACUUCAUUUAGCACUUCAAUGGCUUCUUUAUCAUCAGUCAAAUCUUCCCAUUUUGAUAUGGGUAUCAACAGGAUGGAUCUGCGGAACUCAUUGUACCUUGCAACAUUCCUCUCCCUAUCCCUAUAAACUUCAAGAGCUGGUAGGUCGACGUGAUCCAACCUAUCAUGGCCAGUGAUGUCCUGUGCAAUAACAUCCCUAAGCCAUAGAGGGUAGUUCCAGAGCUCCAGGGCUCCACUAGCUUGGUGACCCAUUGAGACCAUUUGGCUCGUGAAUCCAAUUUUUGGUAGAGCCUCUUCUCCUUUGAGGCCUAUCAGGUUUUGCAUAGGAAUCUCUUCCUUUAAGGGUAGAGAUUUGUUGGGGCCUGGUUCACUGGAGAUGUCUCUAAGAGCAAGAUGAUCAGGCAGAAGUGAGUGCAUCCUGUAAACACUCACAAACUCUUCAGUCAAUGAAUAUGGAACACCAUGAUUAUCAGGUUUCUUCAAACCAACAAGCCCUCCUAAGAUGGCACCUCCAACGUGCCCAAAUGUGUCCUUAAAUUUCUUUCCCAGCAAUCCAUACCAAUUGGCACGCAUUCCUGCCAAUAAUGUAUCAGUUUUCAGAAGCUCCACAGUCCAAUCAAUGGUGUGAAUCUUUGCAAUUACAGCAGCUGUAACCAAUCUUGCAUGCCUAUAUAAUUCUUCGUCCUUUAAAUCUGGAUAUUCCUUCUUGAGGGCAUCGCAGACUGCAUUAUGCUCCUUGACAAAGAGAGCCUGCAAAGUGGAGACACCAAUCCAGCUAUUGCGAACGUCUCCAGAUAGGGCAAUACCAUCUUGGUCAUGGAGGAGAAGGUCAUCUUCUGAAAUUUUGAGCUUGCCAUCUUUAUAUGUCCUCACCUUAUGUAGCCUUUCUUCGUUGCUACCAUAUAUUGCACUUCCAUCCCACCAAGGUGUGCGGGUGUUCAAUGUGCCAGUCUUGAUCUCGUAGAAGCCUGUGGGAACUUUCUUUGUCUUGUAGAACUUGAAGGAUUUAAGGGGACAUUCACUUGCAACCUCUCUAGGAGCAGCCAGUUCAAUCUGGUUGGUGUCCUCCAGGUGAUCAAUCCAAUCAUGGAUCAUAAACUGAAUCCAAGAAGCUGCAAUCAUGUUGAAUUGCUUUCCUGUGUCUUUAAAUUUUCUCCGAGCUAGUAGUUUUGUGGCUACCACCAUGGGAUCUGGCUUCUUCAGCUUAUCUGUUUGGUUCACGGGGAGCAUGUUCCGGCCAAAAAAGGUUCCUUGGCUACCAGCACCUUCAUUGAAGGGAUCAUUGAAUGUUCCGUCGGCUGUCCUGUAAGGAUAAUCGACGGGAUUAAAGCGAACGCCGGUGGGAGUUUUCCCAACGUUCAAUAAGUUGUACUCCUGGUGAAGGUGGCGGCGGAUACCCAGAUAAAACAGACCUAAGAACACAGGUAGCUUUGGCCAUAUUCCCAGCUUAUCAAUGGAGUGCACAAUAAGGAAGAGAAAAGUGUCGAUGAUGGUCAUCUUAGCAACAACUGCAUGGAAAUCUUCAUGGAUGUAGCGGUGCAGAAGAGGAGUUAAGAGAGAUUUGAGAGAUUUCAUGACUAAGGAAAACAUUUUUCUUUGUUAGAAACUCAAGUGUUGGGACAUAGAAAGCAA